UGGGGAAUAUUGCACAAUGGGCGCAAGCCUGAUGCAGCGACGCCGCGUGAGGGAUGGAGGCCUUCGGGUUGUAAACCUCUUUCGCCAGUGAAGCAGGCCAUCUUCUUUGUGGGGUGGUUGACGGUAGCUGGAUAAGAAGCGCCGGCUAACUACGUGCCAGCAGCCGCGGUAAUACGUAGGGCGCGAGCGUUGUCCGGAAUUAUUGGGCGUAAAGAGCUCGUAGGCGGCUGGUCGCGUCUGUCGUGAAAUCCCCUGGCUUAACUGGGGGCUUGCGGUCGGUACGGGCCGGCUUGAGUGCGGUAGGGGAGACUGGAAUUCCUGGUGUAGCGGUGGAAUGCGCAGAUAUCAGGAGGAACACCGGUGGCGAAGGCGGGUCUCUGGGCCGUUACUGACGCUGAGGAGCGAAAGCGUGGGGAGCGAACAGG
Molecule: ribosomal RNA, 425 nt
Filed under: bacterium
Lineage: Bacteria
Description: partial 16S ribosomal RNA
Rfam family: Bacterial small subunit ribosomal RNA
Source: RNAcentral